This 253-nucleotide ribosomal RNA is filed under the name uncultured bacterium. RNAcentral describes it as "partial 16S ribosomal RNA". It matches the Rfam family "Bacterial small subunit ribosomal RNA", at positions 524 to 776 of the family's 1533-position model. The record is from RNAcentral.
UACGGGGGGGGCAAGCGUUGUUCGGAAUUACUGGGCGUACAGGGCUCGUAGGUGGCCAACUAAGUCAGACGUGAAAUCCCUCGGCUUAACCGGGGAACUGCGUCUGAUACUGGAUGGCUUGAGUUCGGGAGAGGGAUGCGGAAUUCCAGGUGUAGCGGUGAAAUGCGUAGAUAUCUGGAGGAACACCGGUGGCGAAGGCGGCAUCCUGGACCGGCACUGACACUGAGGAGCGAAAGCCAGGGGAGCAAACGGG